UGGUCAAGUUAUUAAGGGUGCAGGGCGGAUGCCUUGGCACUAGGAGCCGAUGAAGGACGUGAUAAGCUGCGAUAAGCUUCGGGGAGUUGCACGUAAACUUUGAUCCGAAGAUUUCCGAAUGAGGAAACUCACUUAGAGUAAUGUCUAAGUAUCAUUAAGUGAAUACAUAGCUUAAUGAGGGGAACUCAGGGAACUGAAACAUCUAAGUACCUGAAGGAAGAGAAAGAAAUUCGAUUCCGUAAGUAGCGGCGAGCGAACGCGGAUUAGCCCAAACCAAUAAAGUUUUCUUUAUUGGGGUUGCGGACAUAUCAUAACGAAGAGGUAUCGUAAUUGAAGAGGUUUGGAAAGACCCACCACAGAAGGUAAUAGUCCUGUAUGUUAAACGAAAAGACUUUAGAUAUGAUCCAGAGUACCACGGGACACGUGAAACCCUGUGGGAAGCAGGAGGGACCACCCUCCAAGGCUAAAUACUACCUAGUGACCGAUAGCGUAUAGUACCGUGAGGGAAAGGUGAAAAGAACCCCGGGAGGGGAGUGAAAUAGAACCUGAAACCCUGCACUUACAAGCUGUGGAAGCACAUUUCUUGUGUGACCGCGUACUUUUUGUAGAACGGGCCAACGAGUUACGUUAAGUAGCAAGGUUAAGCACUUAAGGUGCGGAGCCGUAGCGAAAGCGAGUUUUAACUGAGCGUUCAGUUACUUGACGUAGACCCGAAACCGGGCGACCUACCCAUGAGCAGGAUGAAGCGAAAGUAAAAUUUCGUGGAGGUCCGAACCCACGAGCGUUGAAAAGCUCGGGGAUGACUUGUGGGUAGCGGUGAAAUUCCAAUCGAGCCCGGAGAUAGCUGGUUCUCCCCGAAAUAGCUUUAGGGCUAGCCUCAAGGUGA
This 886-nucleotide ribosomal RNA is filed under the name Clostridioides difficile. RNAcentral's name for it is "bacterial LSU rRNA". It matches the Rfam family "Bacterial large subunit ribosomal RNA", at positions 1 to 890 of the family's 2925-position model. Lineage: Bacteria; Bacillati; Bacillota; Clostridia; Peptostreptococcales; Peptostreptococcaceae. The record is from RNAcentral.